GGUGGCUCAGUGGUAGAGUGCUUGCCUUGCAUGCAUAAGGCCCUGGGUUCAAUUCCCCAGGACCA
Molecule: transfer RNA, 65 nt
Filed under: Dipodomys ordii (Ord's kangaroo rat)
Lineage: Eukaryota; Metazoa; Chordata; Mammalia; Rodentia; Heteromyidae
Rfam family: tRNA
About the family: Transfer RNA (tRNA) molecules are approximately 80 nucleotides in length.
Source: Rfam by way of RNAcentral